RNAcentral lists this long non-coding RNA (290 nucleotides) under Elaeis guineensis (African oil palm). Its description in RNAcentral is "long non-coding RNA (EGUI_LNC074725)". The record is from RNAcentral. Lineage: Eukaryota; Viridiplantae; Streptophyta; Magnoliopsida; Arecales; Arecaceae.
CCUGAGAGCGUCUCAGAUCUGAAACUCCUCCUUUUACUUUCCAUCUUUGGAAGAGUCCAAAUCAAGAAGAAGGAGGUACCUGAUCAACCAUCAAAGAUGGAUCAGCGCAGUACUAGCAUACUGUGCUGAUUUCCUGAAGCAGGACUUCUGAUCGAGAUUCGUGGGCUCGUGUGGAUGACUCCUAGAGUUCGGAUGCAUGUGUGGCUUGCAACAUCAUCCUUAAGCCCGGAUCAGCGAGGUUAGAGCGUCUAACUUGCAAGGUAAUAGAUCUGAUCUAUUGUUUAAUACAU